This 1434-nucleotide ribosomal RNA is filed under the name uncultured organism. RNAcentral describes it as "partial small subunit ribosomal RNA". It matches the Rfam family "Bacterial small subunit ribosomal RNA". The record is from RNAcentral.
GCUUAACACAUGCAAGUCGAACGGAAAGGCCCUGCUUUUGUGGGGUGCUCGAGUGGCGAACGGGUGAGUAACACGUGAGUAACCUGCCCUUGACUUUGGGAUAACUUCAGGAAACUGGGGCUAAUACCGGAUAGGAGCUCCUGCUGCAUGGUGGGGGUUGGAAAGUUUCGGCGGUUGGGGAUGGACUCGCGGCUUAUCAGCUUGUUGGUGGGGUAGUGGCUUACCAAGGCUUUGACGGGUAGCCGGCCUGAGAGGGUGACCGGCCACAUUGGGACUGAGAUACGGCCCAGACUCCUACGGGAGGCAGCAGUGGGGAAUAUUGCACAAUGGGCGGAAGCCUGAUGCAGCAACGCCGCGUGCGGGAUGACGGCCUUCGGGUUGUAAACCGCUUUCGCCUGUGACGAAGCGUGAGUGACGGUAAUGGGUAAAGAAGCACUGGCUAACUACGUGCCAGCAGCCGCGGUGAUACGUAGGGUGCGAGCGUUGUCCGGAUUUAUUGGGCGUAAAGGGCUCGUAGGUGGUUGAUCGCGUCGGAAGUGUAAUCUUGGGGCUUAACCCUGAGCGUGCUUUCGAUACGGGUUGACUUGAGGAAGGUAGGGGAGAAUGGAAUUCCUGGUGGAGCGGUGGAAUGCGCAGAUAUCAGGAGGAACACCAGUGGCGAAGGCGGUUCUCUGGGCCUUUCCUGACGCUGAGGAGCGAAAGCGUGGGGAGCGAACAGGCUUAGAUACCCUGGUAGUCCACGCUGUAAACGGUGGGUACUAGGUGUGGGGUCCAUUCCACGGGUUCCGUGCCGUAGCUAACGCUUUAAGUACCCCGCCUGGGGAGUACGGCCGCAAGGCUAAAACUCAAAGGAAUUGACGGGGCCCCGCACAAGCGGCGGAGCAUGCGGAUUAAUUCGAUGCAACGCGUAGAACCUUACCUGGGUUUGACAUGGAUCGGGAGUGCUCAGAGAUGGGUGUGCCUCUUUUGGGGUCGGUUCACAGGUGGUGCAUGGCUGUCGUCAGCUCGUGUCGUGAGAUGUUGGGUUAAGUCCCGCAACGAGCGCAACCCUUGUUCACUGUUGCCAGCACGUUAUGGUGGGGACUCAGUGGAGACCGCCGGGGUCAACUCGGAGGAAGGUGGGGAUGACGUCAAGUCAUCAUGCCCCUUAUGUCCAGGGCUUCACGCAUGCUACAAUGGCUGGUACAGAGAGUGGCGAGCCUGUGAGGGUGAGCGAAUCUCGGAAAGCCGGUCUCAGUUCGGAUUGGGGUCUGCAACUCGACCUCAUGAAGUCGGAGUCGCUAGUAAUCGCAGAUCAGCAACGCUGCGGUGAAUACGUUCCCGGGGCUUGUACACACCGCCCGUCAAGUCAUGAAAGUUGGUAACACCCGAAGCCGGUGGCUUAACCGUUGUGGGGGAGCCGUCGAAGGUGGGACUGGUGAUUAGGACUAAGUG